Long non-coding RNA from Bos indicus x Bos taurus (hybrid cattle), 779 nucleotides. The record is from Ensembl. NCBI's taxonomy places the organism in Eukaryota, Metazoa, Chordata, Mammalia, Artiodactyla, Bovidae.
GAUGAUUCUUCAGAGAGCAUUUAAUCUAAGCGCCUUGUUUUACAGAAGGUGAAAAUGAGGCUGUAGGAGAUUGAUUUUCAAAAGGUCACACAGCUGGUUAAUGCAGGUUCUCUCUGUCUCCCCUUUUCUUUAGGCCCGUCUGCUUCCAAGGUGUGAAAUCUGUCUUUACCUUGACUCUCUGCCUGAAAAAUAUGCGGGCUCGUGUAAGAUGGGGACCUUGAGCUGUGACGGGAGCAUCUUCAAGCCACAGAGCCCGGCUGUCUCACUUUCUAGUUAAGUGGCCACGAGUGAUGUCAUCGUACUAAGCCUUGGUCUCCUCACCAGUCAACUGAGGGUGAAGAUUGUGAGGAUCAAAUGAGAUCAUGAAUAUAAAGUGUGUAGCUCUGAGCCUGGCUGCACUAAUACAGGCUGCUGUUAACAUCUGCAGAGCAGACUAGUUGGGCUCAAUGCUUCCUUACUCUGAGAGCCUGUAAUUUGGAGCAUCAGCUGAUAAUACAUGGGGAUGUGUCUGAAAUACCUGUGAGGAGUUCCAGGUUUCCAUCAGGACUGAUCUAUCAAAUGACAUGAUAUGUGGAGGGCACAGCUGAAGGCAGAAGCACCGGGCACAGAGGAGAGUGGGGAGGAAGAUCUUGAAAAAGCUGUCUCCAUCAACUUACUGAUCCCAGGGACCAGGGAGCCAGCCCCCGGGGCAAGGUAUGUUCAGAGUUUUACCAAGAUCCUCAUUUUAUAAAAUGAGUAAUUCUGCUCAUCUUUCUCCUGCCCCCUUCCCCCUACCAGUA